RNAcentral lists this ribosomal RNA (508 nucleotides) under uncultured bacterium. RNAcentral's name for it is "partial 16S ribosomal RNA". It matches the Rfam family "Bacterial small subunit ribosomal RNA", at positions 28 to 523 of the family's 1533-position model. The record is from RNAcentral.
GAUGAACGCUAGCUACAGGCUUAACACAUGCAAGUCGAGGGGAAACGAUAGAGAAAGCUUGCUUUUUCUAGGCGUCGACCGGCGCACGGGUGAGUAACGCGUAUCCAACCUGCCCAUCACUUGGGGAUAACCUUGCGAAAGUAAGACUAAUACCCAAUGACGUCCAUAGAAGACAUCUGAAAGGGAUUAAAGAUUUAUCGGUGAAGGAUGGGGAUGCGUCUGAUUAGCUUGUUGGCGGGGUAACGGCCCACAAAGGCGACGAUCAGUAGGGGUUCUGAGAGGAAGGUCCCCCACAUUGGAACUGAGACACGGUCCAAACUCCUACGGGGGGCAGCAGUGAGGAAUAUUGGUCAAUGGGCGAGAGCCUGAACCAGCCAAGUAGCGUGCAGGAUGACGGCCUUAUGGGUUGUAAACUGCUUUUAUAAGGGAAUAAAGUGAGCCUCGUGAGGCUUUUUGCAUGUACCUUAUGAAUAAGGACCGGCUAAUUCCGUGCCAGCCGCCGCGGUAA